GCGAAUGGCUCAUUACAACAGCUAUAAUUUACUUGUUCUAUUCCUUUAAACGGAUAACUGCGGUAAUUCUGGAGCCAAUACGUGCUAAAAGACGCAUUCAGUAAUGAGUGUGUUGCAUUUAUCGGAGCAAAACCUUUCCUGGUUUUAUGCUAACUCUGGAUAACACUGCUUAUCGCAUGACCUUGUGUCGGCGAAGUUACAUUCAAGUAUCUGCCUUAUCAACUUUCGAUGGUAGUGUAUUGGACUGCCAUGGUGUUGACGGGUAACGGAGAAUCAGGGUUCGACUCCGGAGAGGGAGCCUUAGAAACGGCUACCAUGUCUAAGGACAGCAGCAGGCGCGCAACUUAUCCACUGUUCAUUGAACGAGAUAGUGACGAGAAAUAACAAGUUCGUUCUCUAUGAGGUCGAGCAUUGGAAUGGAUGGAAUCUAAACAGUUCCAUGAGUACCCACGAGAGGGCAAGUCUGGUGCCAGCAGCCGCGGUAAUUCCAGCU
Molecule: ribosomal RNA, 493 nt
Filed under: Aphelenchoides sp. SP2012BT26
Lineage: Eukaryota; Metazoa; Nematoda; Chromadorea; Rhabditida; Aphelenchoididae
Also listed under: 1 other name
Description: SSU rRNA
Rfam family: Eukaryotic small subunit ribosomal RNA
Source: RNAcentral